AGUGAACGCUGGCGGCAGGCCUAACACAUGCCAGUCGAGCGGAUGAAGGGAGCUUGCUCCUGGAUUCAGCGGCGGACGGGUGAGUAAUGCCUAGGAAUCUGCCUGGUAGUGUGGGAUAACGUCCGGAAACGGGCGCUAAUACCGCAUACGUCCUGAGGGAGAAAGGGGGGGAUCUUCGGACCUCACGCUAUCAGAUGAGCCUAGGUCGGAUUAGCUAGUUGGUGGGGUAAAGGCCUACCAAGGCGACGAUCCGUAACUGGUCUGAGAGGAUGAUCAGUCACACUGGAACUGAGACACGGUCCAGACUCCUACGGGAGGCAGCAGUGGGGAAUAUUGGACAAUGGGCGAAAGCCUGAUCCAGCCAUGCCGCGUGUGUGAAGAAGGUCUUCGGAUUGUAAAGCACUUUAAGUUGGGAGGAAGGGCAGUAAGUUAAUACCUUGCUGUUUUGACGUUACCAACAGAAUAAGCACCGGCUAACUUCGUG
This 484-nucleotide ribosomal RNA is filed under the name uncultured bacterium. RNAcentral describes it as "partial 16S ribosomal RNA". It matches the Rfam family "Bacterial small subunit ribosomal RNA", at positions 29 to 507 of the family's 1533-position model. The record is from RNAcentral.